GUCGGGUUGAGAUGUUUCGGGCAAACAUCUACACAAUUCAUAAUUGUGUGGCAACGGAACAACCGGUAUGGAUCGUUCAAAUUGUCUAACCGCUC
This 95-nucleotide transfer RNA is filed under the name Neisseria canis. Its description in RNAcentral is "tRNA-Met(cat)". Lineage: Bacteria; Pseudomonadati; Pseudomonadota; Betaproteobacteria; Neisseriales; Neisseriaceae. The record is from RNAcentral.